Molecule: ribosomal RNA, 392 nt
Filed under: uncultured bacterium
Lineage: Bacteria
Description: partial 16S ribosomal RNA
Rfam family: Bacterial small subunit ribosomal RNA
Source: RNAcentral
ACACGUAGGGGCCUGACGUUGUUCGGAAUCAUUGGGCGUAAAGGGCGCGCAGGCGGCCGUCCAAGUCCGGUGUUAAAUGGUCGGGCUCAACCCGAUCAUGCGCUGGAAACUGGGCGGCUUGAGUCCCGUAGGGGAUGCCGGAAUUCCAGGUGUAGGGGUGAAAUCUGUAGAUAUCUGGAAGAACACCGAUGGCGAAGGCAGGCAUCUGGCCGGAGACUGACGCUGAGGCGCGAAGGCGCGGGGAGCGAACAGGGUUAGAUACCCUGGUAGUCCGCGCAGUAAACGAUGCGCACCAGGUGUCGGGCGGCAGCGCCCGGUACCGGAGCUAACGCGAUGAGUGCGCCGCCUGGGGAGUAUGCCCGCAAGGGUGAAACUCAAAGGAAUUGACGGGG